AUCAGCGGGCCCCUUGGCAUGCCUGGGACAUGACUAUAUUUUACUUUUACGAAUUUAAACAACCCCACGUAGGGAAUGUCUACCGUCUUGGAUGGCAGAGUUCGAUGAGAAUUUACCCGCCCUCAGAGUAGCAUAGCCAGUGGCUGAAUUUGAAGCAGAGAAACACGUAUUUAAGAAAAUACUCCAUACUGGCUUAUCAUUCAUAAUUAAUGGCUCAUUAAUCAUUUACUCAAUAAGCAGUCUACUGGAACACUUAUGUGCCAAACACUCGCUGAGCUCUGGGAGCGAAGCCGUGUGACAUGCUCAUGUCCUUUACAUUUCUAGUGGGUAAGUUCACAGGGAGGAGCACACAGCAGUGAGUGUACUCUGGGCAGUGCACCUACGGACAGAAAACACCACAGGAAGUACCCUUAAACAACAUUUUGCUGAAAGACUUUUAUUUCCUGCAGUGAGCACAAUGGAUGUGGUAAUAAUCUGUGAGAGCAAGAAAAUGCUUCUGCUGUUUUAGGAUCAAAUGGGAGUUGACACAUCCAACGCACUAUGGAAUUCAAGUCCCCCCAUCUACCAUGGCUUCUGCUGUGGGUCAGCAGAUCACAUCUGUGACUCUGAAAGGGCUGUCUCUCCAGAUUCCAGGACAUCAGUUUGCCCUCUGACCACAAUUCUCUGACCUGAAGAGACUCAAAGGACAGGUAGAUAAUACAAGGCUGUGAAGUCAGUGGGACCACAUCACAAAGGCAUUCAAGUCCACGAGCCAACCUAGAAGCAUGUUGCUGGACUCUUCAUCGAGGGCUUGGAAUACGGCUUCCUUUCCCGGCCUAUGUGCUUAUGCCCACAACCGCCCCUCUUCAUCGCCUACUAAAGAGGAGAUAAUAGCAUUCAGCCCGCAUACAUCACCAGGUGGUUGCAAUAAUUUAAUUUUCCAAUAUCUAUAAAGCAUUUGACAACUAUAAAUCACUGGAAAACAGCAAACAACUUAACCCAUAUCGAGCCUUCCUUAUGGCCCCAUGUUUAAUUUAUGCGGUCUCUCUCGGAACUUAGGGACAUGCAUUUCAAUCUAUUUUCGGGAAUUCGACUUAUCGUUUUCUGUUGGGAAAAUACACCCUUUCCCUGCCAUCCUAACGUAUUGAGAGUGUGGCUUAUGGGAUUGUUGACCGGCUGUCUGUAGCAAAUAAAAUCUACAAAUAUUUACUAGCUGCUGAGCAUGGUCUUGCC
Molecule: small RNA, 1212 nt
Filed under: Rattus norvegicus (Norway rat)
Lineage: Eukaryota; Metazoa; Chordata; Mammalia; Rodentia; Muridae
Description: uncharacterized LOC102553416
Source: RNAcentral